This 90-nucleotide transfer-messenger RNA is filed under the name Dehalococcoidia bacterium. Its description in RNAcentral is "partial transfer-messenger RNA". It matches the Rfam family "transfer-messenger RNA", at positions 1 to 92 of the family's 374-position model. Rfam says of the family: Bacterial tmRNA, also known as 10Sa RNA or SsrA, is named for its dual tRNA and mRNA-like properties. Lineage: Bacteria; Bacillati; Chloroflexota; Dehalococcoidia. The record is from RNAcentral.
GGGGACGUAUGGGUUCGACAGGGAAGGUAUGCUGCCGGAUUGCAAGCUGAGGUGCCGCUACCCUCAUAAAACAAGUGGCAAAAAAUAACU